Molecule: ribosomal RNA, 324 nt
Filed under: Eocercomonas sp.
Lineage: Eukaryota; Cercozoa; Cercomonadida; Cercomonadidae
Description: SSU rRNA
Rfam family: Eukaryotic small subunit ribosomal RNA (bases 107-324)
Source: RNAcentral
GAUUUCUGGCUUGGUGCGCGCCGUCCGCUUCCGUUAGGGAGUGUGUGCGGUUGUGCGCCUGCCAUCUUUUUAGACAUUAUGCUGUGCCCUUCACUGGGUGGCAGGUAGUGGCUGAAUCUUUUACUUUGAAAAAAUUAGAGUGUUCAAAGCAGGCUUGCGCUAUGAAUACAUUAGCAUGGAAUAAUAAUCUAGGACUUUCGGUUCUAUUUUGUUGGUGUUCUGGAGCUGAAGUAAUGAUUGAUAGGGAUAGUUGGGGGUGCUAGUAUUCAAUGGCCAGAGGUGAAAUUCUCGGAUUCCUUGAAGACUAACUUAUGCGAAAGCAUU